This 253-nucleotide ribosomal RNA is filed under the name uncultured bacterium. RNAcentral's name for it is "partial 16S ribosomal RNA". It matches the Rfam family "Bacterial small subunit ribosomal RNA", at positions 524 to 776 of the family's 1533-position model. The record is from RNAcentral.
GACAGAGGGUGCAACCGUUGUUCGGAAUUACUGGGCGUAAAGCGCGUGUAGGCUGCUCGGAAAGUCGGAUGUGAAAGCCCUGGGCUCAACCUAGGAAGUGCAUUCGAAACUUCCGAGCUGGAGUACUGGAGAGGAAGGCGGAAUUCUCGGUGUAGAGGUGAAAUUCGUAGAUAUCGAGAGGAACACCGGUGGCGAAGGCGGCCUUCUGGACAGUAACUGACGCUGAGACGCGAAAGCGUGGGGAGCAAACAGG